RNAcentral lists this ribosomal RNA (854 nucleotides) under uncultured bacterium. RNAcentral describes it as "bacterial SSU rRNA". It matches the Rfam family "Bacterial small subunit ribosomal RNA", at positions 9 to 859 of the family's 1533-position model. The record is from RNAcentral.
GAGUUUGAUCCUGGCUCAGGAUGAACGCUAGCGGCAGGCUUAACACAUGCAAGUCGAGGGGUAACAGAAGUAGCUUGCUAUUUGCUGACGACCGGCGCACGGGUGCGUAACGCGUAUAGAAUCUACCUUAUACUGGGGGAUAGCCUUUGGAAACGAAGAUUAAUACCCCAUAGUAUUAUUUUUUGGCAUCAUUAAAUAAUUAAAGUUUCGGCGGUAUAAGAUGACUAUGCGUUCUAUUAGUUAGUUGGUAAGGUAACGGCUUACCAAGACUUCGAUAGAUAGGGGUCCUGAGUGGGAGAUCCCCCACACUGGUACUGAGACACGGACCAGACUCCUACGGGAGGCAGCUGUGAGGAAUAUUGGACAAUGGAGGCAACUCUGAUCCAGCCAUGCCGCGUGUAGGAAGACUGCCCUAUGGGUUGUAAACUACUUUUAUAUGGGAAGAAUAAGAUCUACGUGUAGAUUGAUGACGGUACCAUAAGAAUAAGCACCGGCUAACUCCGUGCCAGCAGCCGCGGUAAUACGGAGGGUGCAAGCGUUAUCCGGAAUCAUUGGGUUUAAAGGGUCCGUAGGCGGGCAUAUAAGUCAGUGGUGAAAGUCUGUGGCUUAACCAUAGAAUUGCCAUUGAUACUGUAUGUCUUGAAUUAUUGUGAAGUGGUUAGAAUAUGUAGUGUAGCGGUGAAAUGCUUAGAGAUUACAUAGAAUACCGAUUGCGAAGGCAGAUCACUAACAAUAUAUUGACGCUGAUGGACGAAAGCGUAGGUAGCGAACAGGAUUAGAUACCCUGGUAGUCUACGCCGUAAACGAUGGAUACUAGUUGUUUGGCCUUAGGGCUGAGUGACUAAGCGAAAGUG